This 405-nucleotide ribosomal RNA is filed under the name Triticum aestivum (bread wheat). RNAcentral describes it as "partial small subunit ribosomal RNA". Lineage: Eukaryota; Viridiplantae; Streptophyta; Magnoliopsida; Poales; Poaceae. The record is from RNAcentral.
AUGGUGAUCGUUGGCAAGGCCAAUCACCUCCUCAGCGCCCCUAAUGGGGAGGGCGACACCCCCCUGCACUGUGCCGCCCGGCUCAAGAAUGCUAGGAUGGUCUCUCAUCUCUUGGCUCUGGCAAGGGCCAGGGACGGCACCGGUGAUGAUGAGAGUGUGAAGGCGAUCCUAAGAAUGCAAAAUGGGGAGGGAGAGACGGUGCUGCACAAAGCCGUCCGCGUGGAAGACAAGGACAUGAUCGGCGAGCUAGUGUCGGCGGACUCACAGCUAGCUCGUGUUCCGCUGACCGACCGCGCCUCACCACUGUACUUGGCCCUCUUGCUGGGUCACAUGGACAUUGCAAAGCUGCUCUUCGAGAAAGACGACAAGCUGUCUUACUCUGGACCGGACUGCCAAAACGCCUAA